RNAcentral lists this ribosomal RNA (460 nucleotides) under uncultured Pseudomonas sp. RNAcentral's name for it is "bacterial SSU rRNA". It matches the Rfam family "Bacterial small subunit ribosomal RNA", at positions 925 to 1382 of the family's 1533-position model. The record is from RNAcentral. Lineage: Bacteria; Pseudomonadati; Pseudomonadota; Gammaproteobacteria; Pseudomonadales; Pseudomonadaceae.
ACAAGCGGUGGAGCAUGUGGUUUAAUUCGAAGCAACGCGAAGAACCUUACCAGGUCUUGACAUCCCCUGACAACCCGAGAGAUCGGGCGUUCCCCUUCGGGGACAGGGUGACAGGUGGUGCAUGGUUGUCGUCAGCUCGUGUCGUGAGAUGUUGGGUUAAGUCCCGCAACGAGCGCAACCCUUGUCCUUAGUUACCAGCACGUUAAGGUGGGGCACUCUAAGGAGACUGCCGGUGACAAACCGGAGGAAGGUGGGGAUGACGUCAAGUCAUCAUAGCCCUUACGGCCUGGGCUACACACGUGCUACAAUGGUCGGUACAAAGGGUUGCCAAGCCGCGAGGUGGAGCUAAUCCCAUAAAACCGAUCGUAGUCCGGAUCGCAGUCUGCAACUCGACUGCGUGAAGUCGGAAUCGCUAGUAAUCGUGAAUCAGAAUGUCACGGUGAAUACGUUCCCGGGUCUU